This is a long non-coding RNA of Cherax quadricarinatus, 550 nucleotides long. RefSeq lists it as uncharacterized. Lineage: Eukaryota; Metazoa; Arthropoda; Malacostraca; Decapoda; Parastacidae. The record is from RefSeq and is a predicted model, not a curated record.
CUAAACUGUUUGGUAACUCUGGCUUCCUGUUAGUUUAAUACACAGCCCCAGUGUGUGUGCUCACGGUGCUGCAUCAUGUACCUGUGAGGGUACAGCACCAGCUUCUGGUGUGUAUCCACGUUGCUGUACCUAUGAAGAUCCUCGCCCGCUACAGGAUAAGCAACUUUCAGUAGUGUUGUAUCACAGUUCGUCACAGGGCGUGGCACUGUUAUGGAGAGGCCACGGGUGUUACAGCCGUGCUGGUGCCGUGGACCGGGGUCAGCGCGGGGACCAACGAAGCCGGGUCUUAACGAACCCGGUGAUGGCAUUGUGAUCCAGAUGACCAGCAGAUGAAGGAUCAGCAGGAGAACUGGAUUAAGACGGACUGCAAGAACGCUGCUUGUGAUGGCUGGAUUCUCCGCUGCCUCAGAUCACCCUGCCUGCAUGAUCACGAUUCAUGAACGCUUUUGUCACAUCCAACUGGAUGCUAGCUCUUGGUCCCCCCUUGAUCACUAUAGCCAAGACAAUGAAAUGGAAAAGUGAUUACGACUUGUCUAGUGUGAUACUGAUA